RNAcentral lists this ribosomal RNA (256 nucleotides) under uncultured bacterium. RNAcentral's name for it is "partial 16S ribosomal RNA". It matches the Rfam family "Bacterial small subunit ribosomal RNA", at positions 524 to 776 of the family's 1533-position model. The record is from RNAcentral.
UACGUAGGUGGCGAACGUUAUCCGGAAUUAUUGGGCGUAAAGGGUGCGUAGAUGGCCUGAUAAGUUAGCAGUGGAAAAUCGAGGCUCAACCUCGUGGAAGCUGGUAAUACUGUCAGGCUCGAGUGCAGGAGAGGUUAACGGAACUCCAUGUGGAGCGGUAAAAUGUGUAGAUAUAUGGAAGAACACCAAUAACGGCGAAGGCAGUUAACUAUGCUGUUACUGACAUUGAGGCACGAAAGCGUGGGGAGCAAACCGG